This 253-nucleotide ribosomal RNA is filed under the name uncultured bacterium. RNAcentral describes it as "partial 16S ribosomal RNA". It matches the Rfam family "Bacterial small subunit ribosomal RNA", at positions 524 to 776 of the family's 1533-position model. The record is from RNAcentral.
UACGUAGGGGGCAAGCGUUGUCCGGAAUCAUUGGGCGUAAAGAGCGUGUAGGCGGCUUGGUAAGUCCGCUGUGAAAGUCCAGGGCUCAACCCUGGAAAGCCGGUGGAAACUGUCAAGCUUGAGUCCGGAAGAGGCGAGUGGAAUUCCUGGUGUAGCGGUGAAAUGCGCAGAUAUCAGGAGGAACACCAAUGGCGACGGCAGCUCGCUGGGACGGUACUGACGCUGAGACGCGAAAGCGUGGGGAGCAAACAGG